GGGGAAUUUUGGACAAUGGGCGAAAGCCUGAUCCAGCCAUGCCGCGUGAGUGAAGAAGGCCUUCGGGUUGUAAAGCUCUUUUAGUCGGAAAGAAAGAGUUGCAAUGAAUAAUUGUGAUUUAUGACGGUACCGACAGAAAAAGCACCGGCUAACUACGUGCCAGCAGCCGCGGUAAUACGUAGGGUGCGGGCGUUAAUCGGAAUUACUGGGCGUAAAGGGUGCGCAGGCGGUCUUGCAAGUCAGAUGUGAAAGCCCCGGGCUUAACCUGGGAAUUGCGUUUGAAACUACAAGGCUAGAGUGCAGCAGAGGGGAGUGGAAUUCCAUGUGUAGCAGUGAAAUGCGUAGAGAUGUGGAAGAACACCGAUGGCGAAGGCAGCUCCCUGGGUUGACACUGACGCUCAUGCACGAAAGCGUGGGGAGCAAACA
RNAcentral lists this ribosomal RNA (426 nucleotides) under uncultured Nitrosomonas sp. Its description in RNAcentral is "bacterial SSU rRNA". It matches the Rfam family "Bacterial small subunit ribosomal RNA", at positions 356 to 774 of the family's 1533-position model. Lineage: Bacteria; Pseudomonadati; Pseudomonadota; Betaproteobacteria; Nitrosomonadales; Nitrosomonadaceae. The record is from RNAcentral.